GGACUACAGGGGUAUCUAAUCCUGUUUGCUCCCCACGCUUUCGCGCCUCAGCGUCAAUGUCGGUCCAGAUAGCCGCCUUCGCCACCGGUGUUCUUCCCAAUAUCUACGAAUUUCACCUCUACACUGGGAAUUCCGCUAUCCUCUCCCGAAUUCAAGCAACCCAGUAUCAAAUGCAGUCCCCAGGUUAAGCCCAGGACUUUCACAUCUGACUUGGGUCGCCGCCUACGCGCCCUUUACGCCCAGUAAUUCCGAACAACGCUCGCCCCCUUCGUAUUACCGCGGCGGCUGGCAC
RNAcentral lists this ribosomal RNA (292 nucleotides) under uncultured Alphaproteobacteria bacterium. Its description in RNAcentral is "partial 16S ribosomal RNA". The record is from RNAcentral. Lineage: Bacteria; Pseudomonadati; Pseudomonadota; Alphaproteobacteria.